RNAcentral lists this ribosomal RNA (1508 nucleotides) under metagenome. RNAcentral describes it as "bacterial SSU rRNA". It matches the Rfam family "Bacterial small subunit ribosomal RNA". The record is from RNAcentral.
AGAGUUUGAUCCUGGCUCAGGAUGAACGCUAGCUACAGGCUUAACACAUGCAAGUCGAGGGGCAGCAUGGUCUUAGCUUGCUAAGGCCGAUGGCGACCGGCGCACGGGUGAGUAACACGUAUCCAACCUGCCGUCUACUCUUGGACAGCCUUCUGAAAGGAAGAUUAAUACAAGAUGGCAUCAUGAGUCCGCAUGUUCACAUGAUUAAAGGUAUUCCGGUAGACGAUGGGGAUGCGUUCCAUUAGAUAGUAGGCGGGGUAACGGCCCACCUAGUCUUCGAUGGAUAGGGGUUCUGAGAGGAAGGUCCCCCACAUUGGAACUGAGACACGGUCCAAACUCCUACGGGAGGCAGCAGUGAGGAAUAUUGGUCAAUGGGCGAGAGCCUGAACCAGCCAAGUAGCGUGAAGGAUGACUGCCCUAUGGGUUGUAAACUUCUUUUAUAAAGGAAUAAAGUCGGGUAUGGAUACCCGUUUGCAUGUACUUUAUGAAUAAGGAUCGGCUAACUCCGUGCCAGCAGCCGCGGUAAUACGGAGGAUCCGAGCGUUAUCCGGAUUUAUUGGGUUUAAAGGGAGCGUAGAUGGAUAUUUAAGUCAGUUGUGAAAGUUUGCGGCUCAACCGUAAAAUUGCAGUUGAUACUGGAUAUCUUGAGUGCAGUUGAGGCAGGCGGAAUCCGUGGUGUAGCGGUGAAAUGCUUAGAUAUCAUGAAGAACUCCGAUUGCGAAGGCAGCCUGCUAAGCUGCAACUGACAUUGAGGCUCGAAAGUGUGGGUAUCAAACAGGAUUAGAUACCCUGGUAGUCCACACGGUAAACGAUGAAUACUCGCUGUUUGCGAUAUACUGCAAGCGGCCAAGCGAAAGCGUUAAGUAUUCCACCUGGGGAGUACGCCGGCAACGGUGAAACUCAAAGGAAUUGACGGGGGCCCGCACAAGCGGAGGAACAUGUGGUUUAAUUCGAUGAUACGCGAGGAACCUUGCCCGGGCUUAAAUUGCAGAUGAAUUACGGUGAAAGCCGUAAGCCGCAAGGCAUCUGUGAAGGUGCUGCAUGGUUGUCGUCAGCUCGUGCCGUGAGGUGUCGGCUUAAGUGCCAUAACGAGCGCAACCCUUGUUGUCAGUUACUAACAGGUUCCGCUGAGGACUCUGACAAGACUGCCAUCGUAAGAUGUGAGGAAGGUGGGGAUGACGUCAAAUCAGCACGGCCCUUACGUCCGGGGCUACACACGUGUUACAAUGGGGGGUACAGAGGGCCGCUACCACGCGAGUGGAUGCCAAUCCCCAAAACCUCUCUCAGUUCGGACUGGAGUCUGCAACCCGACUCCACGAAGCUGGAUUCGCUAGUAAUCGCGCAUCAGCCACGGCGCGGUGAAUACGUUCCCGGGCCUUGUACACACCGCCCGUCAAGCCAUGGGAGCCGGGGGUACCUGAAGUGCGUAACCGCGAGGAGCGCCCUAGGGUAAAACUGGUGACUGGGGCUAAGUCGUAACAAGGUAGCCGUACCGGAAGGUGCGGCUG